AAGCACAUAUUAGUACUAAACAAAUACAUCAAAGGAAUGGUUUCCAUUCUAAAGGUUUGUAAGCCACGUUCCCCUCGCUUUCUCUUCUAGGUGGUUGUGAAUGCUCUUGUUGGAGCAAUUCCCUCUAUCAUGAAUGUGCUGUUGGUCUGUCUCAUCUUCUGGCUGAUCUUUAGCAUCAUGGGUGUGAAUUUGUUUGCUGGCAAGUUCUACCACUGUGUUAACAUGACAACGGGUAACAUGUUUGACGUUAGUGAUGUCAACAAUUUGAGUGACUGUCAGGCUCUUGGCAAGCAAGCUCGGUGGAAAAACGUGAAAGUAAACUUUGAUAAUGUUGGCGCUGGCUAUCUUGCACUGCUUCAAGUGGCCACAUUUAAAGGCUGGAUGGAUAUUAUGUAUGCAGCUGUUGAUUCACGAGAUGUUAAACUUCAGCCUGUGUAUGAAGAAAAUCUGUACAUGUAUUUAUACUUUGUCAUCUUUAUCAUCUUUGGGUCAUUCUUCACUCUGAAUCUAUUCAUUGGUGUCAUCAUAGAUAACUUCAACCAGCAGAAAAAGAAG
RNAcentral lists this small RNA (555 nucleotides) under Pongo abelii (Sumatran orangutan). RNAcentral's name for it is "retained intron". Lineage: Eukaryota; Metazoa; Chordata; Mammalia; Primates; Hominidae. The record is from RNAcentral.